GAGUUUGAUCUUGGCUCAGAUUGAACGCUGGCGGCAUGCCUUACACAUGCAAGUCGAACGGCAGCACGGGAGCUUGCUCCUGGUGGGCGAGUGGCGAACGGGUGAGUAAUGCAUCGGAACGUAUCCUGGAGUGGGGGAUAACGUAGCGAAAGUUACGCUAAUACCGCAUAUUCUGUGAGCAGGAAAGCGGGGGACCUUCGGGCCUCGCGCUCUUGGAGCGGCCGAUGUCGGAUUAGCUAGUUGGUGAGGUAAAGGCUCACCAAGGCGACGAUCCGUAGCAGGUCUGAGAGGAUGAUCUGCCACACUGGAACUGAGACACGGGUCCAGACUCCUACGGGAGGCAGCAGUGGGGAAUUUUGGACAAUGGGGGCGAACCCUGAUCCAGCCGAUGCCGCGUGAGUGAAG
Molecule: ribosomal RNA, 405 nt
Filed under: bacterium enrichment culture clone ALO1_GLFRUDD03HE77R
Lineage: Bacteria
Description: bacterial SSU rRNA
Rfam family: Bacterial small subunit ribosomal RNA
Source: RNAcentral